RNAcentral lists this ribozyme (75 nucleotides) under unclassified sequences. Its description in RNAcentral is "pistol ribozyme". It matches the Rfam family "Pistol ribozyme". The record is from RNAcentral.
AGCUGACUAGGCAGCUAUAAAUAGUACUUAAGCCUAGUGCGUUGGAGAAUAUUGUGAAAUAUGCUCCAGGUGUAA